AAUAAUUGNCNUCGGAUCAGGUAGGGAUACCCGCUGAACUUAAGCAUAUCAAUAAGCGGAGGAAAAGAAACCAACAGGGAUUGCCUCAGUAACGGCGAGUGAAGCGGCAACAGCUCAAAUUUGAAGUCUGGCUCCUCUGGGGUNCGAGUUGUAAUUUGUAGAAGAUGUUUCGGGGGCGGUGCCGGUUUAAGUCCCUUGGAACAGGGCGUCAUAGAGGGUGAGAAUCCCGUAUGUGACCGGUGGCCAACCCCAUGUGAAACUCUUUCGACGAGUCGAGUUGUUUGGGAAUGCAGCUCAAAACGGGUGGUAAAUUUCAUCUAAAGCUAAAUACCGGCCAGAGACCGAUAGCGCACAAGUAGAGUGAUCGAAAGAUGAAAAGCACUUUGGAAAGAGAGUUAGACAGUACGUGAAAUUGUUGAAAGGGAAGCGCUCGCCACCAGACCUGCCCUCGGACGAUCAGCGGUAGUUCUACUGCCGUGCACUCGUUCGUGAUCAGGCCAGCAUCGGUUUCGGCGGCCGGAUAAAGAUCCUUGGAAUGCGGCUCCCCUCGGGGAGUGCUAUAGCCUUGGGUGUAAUACGGCCAGCUGGGACCGAGGACCGCGCUUCGGCUAGGAUGCUGGCGUAAUGGUGGUGAGCGACC
This 640-nucleotide ribosomal RNA is filed under the name uncultured fungus. RNAcentral's name for it is "eukaryotic LSU rRNA". It matches the Rfam family "Eukaryotic large subunit ribosomal RNA", at positions 1 to 649 of the family's 3401-position model. Lineage: Eukaryota; Fungi. The record is from RNAcentral.